RNAcentral lists this signal recognition particle RNA (303 nucleotides) under Carlito syrichta (Philippine tarsier). RNAcentral describes it as "Metazoan signal recognition particle RNA (ENSTSYG00000027796.1)". It matches the Rfam family "Metazoan signal recognition particle RNA". From Rfam's summary of the family: The signal recognition particle (SRP) is a universally conserved ribonucleoprotein. It is involved in the co-translational targeting of proteins to membranes. Lineage: Eukaryota; Metazoa; Chordata; Mammalia; Primates; Tarsiidae. The record is from RNAcentral.
GUUGUGUGCAGUGGUGCACACCUGGAGUUCCAGCUACCUGGGAGGCUGAGGCGGGAGGAUCACUUGAGCCCAGGAAUUCUGGACUAUAUAGUGUGUUAUGCUGAUCGGGUGUCUGCACUAAGUUCAGCAUCAAUGCGGUGAUCUCCUGGGGAUGAGGCACCACCAGGUUUGCCUAAGGAGGUGUGAACUGACCCAGGUUGCAAAUGGAGCAGGUCAAAAUUCCCUUGCUGAUCCCUAGUGGGAUCACACCUGUGAACAGCCAUUGCAUUCCAUCCUAGGCAACACAGCAGAGAUCCUUGCUCU